RNAcentral lists this ribosomal RNA (498 nucleotides) under uncultured bacterium. RNAcentral describes it as "partial 16S ribosomal RNA". It matches the Rfam family "Bacterial small subunit ribosomal RNA", at positions 30 to 523 of the family's 1533-position model. The record is from RNAcentral.
AUUGAACGCUGGCGGCAUGCCUUACACAUGCAAGUCGAACGGUAACAGGUCUUCGGAUGCUGACGAGUGGCGAACGGGUGAGUAAUACAUCGGAACGUGCCUAGUAGUGGGGGAUAACUACUCGAAAGAGUGGCUAAUACCGCAUGAGAUCUACGGAUGAAAGCAGGGGAUCGCAAGACCUUGUGCUACUAGAGCGGCCGAUGGCAGAUUAGGUAGUUGGUGGGAUAAAAGCUUACCAAGCCGACGAUCUGUAGCUGGUCUGAGAGGACGAUCAGCCCCACUGGGACUGAGGCACGGCCCAGACUCCUACGGGGGGCAGCAGUGGGGAAUUUUGGACAAUGGGCGGAAGCCUGAUCCAGCAAUGCCGCGUGCAGGAUGAAGGCCUUCGGGUUGGAAACUGCUUUUGUACGGAACGAAAAGCCCCGGGUUAAUACCCUGGGGUCAUGACGGUACCGUAAGAAUAAGCACCGGCUAACUACGUGCCAGCCGCCGCCGUAA